RNAcentral lists this ribosomal RNA (506 nucleotides) under uncultured bacterium. RNAcentral describes it as "partial 16S ribosomal RNA". It matches the Rfam family "Bacterial small subunit ribosomal RNA", at positions 29 to 523 of the family's 1533-position model. The record is from RNAcentral.
AGUGAACGCUGGCGGUAGGCCUAACACAUGCAAGUCGAACGGCAGCACAGGAGAGCUUGCUCUCUGGGUGGCGAGUGGCGGACGGGUGAGGAAUACAUCGGAAUCUACUCUGUCGUGGGGGAUAACGUAGGGAAACUAACGCUAAUACCGCAUACGACCUACGGGUGAAAGCAGGGGACCUUCGGGCCUUGCGCGAUUGAAUGAGCCGAUGUCGGAUUAGCUAGUUGGCGGGGUAAAGGCCCACCAAGGCGACGAUCCGUAGCUGGUCUGGGAGGAUGAUCAGCCACACUGGAACUGAGACACGGUCCAGACUCCUACGGGAGGCAGCAGUGGGGAAUAUUGGACAAUGGGCGCAAGCCUGAUCCAGCCAUACCGCGUGGGUGAAGAAGGCCUUCGGGUUGUAAAGCCCUUUUGUUGGGAAAGAAAUCCAGCUGGCUAAUACCCGGUUAGGAUGACGGUACCCAAAGAAUAAGCACCGGCUAACUUCGUGCCAGCAGCCGCAGUAA